GGAUUUGGACUUAGACAUCGAUAGACAUUAAUAUACAUAGCCUUUGGAUUGACACUUUUAUUCUACAAACAACAUCAUACUGGAUUGUGACCGUAAUAUUCAGAUUGGAUUCCGAGAAGAUUUCUGGAUACAGAUAAAGAUAAAAGAUUGGACUCGUAUUUUGACAGUUAAGUUAACAGUAAUAUUUGUGUAAUACUUCUUGUAAACAUUUGUAUAAUAAAUCUUGUUAAAUUUUAUAAUUGAUUUGUGUCUUUUGUUGGCUACAAUUUAAAGGCGAUUUC
Molecule: long non-coding RNA, 281 nt
Filed under: Mytilus galloprovincialis (Mediterranean mussel)
Lineage: Eukaryota; Metazoa; Mollusca; Bivalvia; Mytilida; Mytilidae
Source: RNAcentral